Molecule: RNA transcript, 2151 nt
Organism: Solanum dulcamara
Lineage: Eukaryota; Viridiplantae; Streptophyta; Magnoliopsida; Solanales; Solanaceae
Gene name: dicarboxylate transporter 2.1, chloroplastic-like
Exons: 7
Source: RefSeq, a predicted model, not a curated record
UCAUUACACAAAUUCCAAUUCAAAAAGCUAUAAUUUUCUCCACUUUCCAUUCACCAUACUUCUCCUUUUCCAUUUAUAUCUCAAAAUUUCUUCCUCCCACCACUUGCUUAUAGCCAUUAUAACCAUAUCAACAAGUAGACAACCACCAUUGUACUUGGCUUGAUAAUAUGUUCUCCAACUUGAAAGUGAAUCAUAUGAUAGAUAGUGAAAUUUUUACAAAGUAAAAAGCGUUUUUCGUUCAAAAGAUGAUAGAUUCAACUACACAGCUUCAAUAAAAUCCGUUAAGGUAGUUGAUGUGACAGUGAUGACAACUCCGAGUUCUAUCCUUCCAAUGUCCCACACUUCUGCAACCUCCACUACCAACCACCCUCCUCCUUCUCGUCGUCGUCAUCUCUCACUUGCACGAUGGAAAGGUGCAAAACCAAUCCCACUAGUCGUAUCCAUAACAAUAGGCCUAAUCUUCCGUUUCGCGAUUCCAAAACCCCACAAACUCUCCAAAAACGCGUGGCAACUCCUAGCCAUUUUCCUCACAACUAUCUCGGGCCUCAUUUUAGGCCCGUUACCGGUGGGUGCAUGGGCAUUCUUUUGCCUAACGCUCACCGUAGUCACAAAAACUUUAACAUUCGCUGCAGCAUUUGCUGCUUUCACUAAUGAAGUCAUUUGGUUAAUUGUUGCAUCAUUUUUUUUCUCAAGAGGAUUUAUUAAGACUGGGCUUGGUGAUAGAAUUGCUUUGUAUUUUGUAAGUUGGCUUGGGAAAAAUACAUUGGGCCUUUCUUAUGGACUUGCUUUAAGUGAGGCAGCAAUUUCUCCAGCAAUUCCAAGUACAACUGCAAGAGCUGGUGGAAUUUUUUUACCAAUAAUUAAGUCAUUAGCUGUUACUGCUGAUAGUCACCCGAAAGAUGAUUCUGCUAAGAAGCUUGGAGCAUAUCUUAUUCAAUCUCAGUUGCAGUGUUCUAGUACUUCAAGUGCCCUGUUCCUAACAGCUGCUGCACAAAACUUAUUGUGUCUGAAAUUAGCUGAGGGAUUAGGUGUAGAAAUAUCAAGUAAAUGGCUUACUUGGUUGAAGGCUUCUUGUAUGCCAUCAGUUGUAUCUCUUUUAGUUACUCCAGUUGUGCUAUACAAGAUUUUCCCUCCUGAAAUGAAGGACACACCAGAUGCUCCAUUAAUGGCUAGAAGGAGACUGGAACAGAUGGGUUCAAUCAAAACUGAUCAAUGGAUAAUGGUGAUUGUAAUGCUUAUAACUGUAGCAUUAUGGAUUGCUGGAGAGGCUCUUGGGAUACUAAGUGUUGUCACAGCAAUGUUGGGAUUGUCGCUACUUUUGGGUUUUGGAGUAAUUGACUGGAAUGAUUGCUUGAGUGAAAAAUCCGCUUGGGAUACCUUAGCUUGGUUCGGGGUUUUAAUAGGCAUGGCAACACAGUUAACAACUCUUGGAGUUGUUGCCUGGAUGUCAGAUGCUGUAGCUAACUUCCUUAAAUCAAUUUCAUUACAUUGGUUCGGGGCGUUUUGUGUCCUUCAAGCAACAUAUUUCUUCAUCCACUACUUGUUUGCUAGUCAAACUGGUCAUGUUGCAGCAUUGUACUCAGCAUUUCUCGGAAUGUGCUUAGCAUCAAAAGUUCCCGGUCUUUUUGCUGCGUUGGCUUUGGGAUACAACACAAAUCUUUUUGGCGCAUUGACACAUUACAGCAGUGGUCAAGCUGCAGUGUACUAUGGAGGUGGUUAUGUGGAACUACGCGAUGUUUUCAAAUUGGGCAUCAUCAUAGCUCUUAUGAAUAUUGUUAUAUGGGCAUUAGUUGGAGCUGGUUGGUGGAAGAUUAUUGGUCUUUACUAAUACUGAAAUAGGAAGUUUCUGGUGUACAGGACAGGUUGCAUUUGGCUCUAAUUUUUUCAACUUAAAGGUUUAAUAAAAGAACGAUCACGUUCCUUCAAUUGUUGCCAUUGGAGUCUUCAUAAAUGUCGUUGGGUAUCUGUUGGAUCCACCAAAAAUAGCAUUAUUGAGAGGAUUUCGACACAUGUGCGAACGACAACAUUUUGUAAACCUUAGUGAAAAUGUUGUAUAUAUUCUAGCAAGUUAUGCAUUUUUUGUAAUUACAAUUUCCAACCAAAUGAUUCAUUAAUCCAACCAGCACAAGAUUUUGAUUUCAUAGAAUAUAA